AGGGAUUGGGGCUUGCAAUUGUUCCCCAUGAACGAGGAAUUCCCAGUAAGCGCGAGUCAUAAGCUCGCGUUGAUUACGUCCCUGCCCUUUGUACACACCGCCCGUCGCUACUACCGAUUGAAUGAUUUAGUGAGGUCUUCGGACUGGUGCGCGGCAAUGUCUCGGCAUUGCCGAUGUUGCCGGGAAGAUGACCAAACUUGAUCAUUUAGAGGAAGUAAAAGUCGUAACAAGGUUUCCGUAGGUGAACCUGCGGAAGGAUCAUUA
RNAcentral lists this non-coding RNA (264 nucleotides) under Lasius niger. RNAcentral describes it as "Eukaryotic small subunit ribosomal RNA". It matches the Rfam family "Eukaryotic small subunit ribosomal RNA", at positions 1572 to 1831 of the family's 1831-position model. The record is from Rfam by way of RNAcentral. Lineage: Eukaryota; Metazoa; Arthropoda; Insecta; Hymenoptera; Formicidae.